Molecule: ribosomal RNA, 328 nt
Filed under: Schistonchus sp. M 8
Lineage: Eukaryota; Metazoa; Nematoda; Chromadorea; Rhabditida; Aphelenchoididae
Description: LSU rRNA
Rfam family: Eukaryotic large subunit ribosomal RNA
Source: RNAcentral
CUUCAUGACCCGUCUUGAAACACGGACCAAGUAGUUUAUGGUGUAAGCAAGUCAUUGGGUGGAACACUCAUAAGGCGAAAUGAAAGUGGGACACUUGGUGUCUGUGAUGCGAUCCGUGUAUGAUUUGAUGUGUGCGGAGCAGCAUCGACCCAUGACCAGAACUUGUUAUGUUGUGGAGUCUGAGCGUGGGCUUUGAGACCCGAAAGAUGGUGAACUAUGCCUGAACAGGACGAAGUCAGAGGAAACUCUGAUGGAAGUCCGAAGCGGUUCUGACGUGCAAAUCGAUCGUCUGAUUUGGGUAUAGGGGCGCGAGACUAGUCGAACCAUC